GAGUGUUAAAGCUCUCUUAGAAUCUGUCUAGCAGGUUUUUCAGUCUCCACCAGAAGAACCCCC
This is a small nuclear RNA of Otolemur garnettii (small-eared galago), 63 nucleotides long. Its record names the gene U7. It matches the Rfam family "U7 small nuclear RNA". Rfam says of the family: Animal histone pre-mRNAs are spliced by a different mechanism than nuclear pre-mRNAs and self-splicing introns. Lineage: Eukaryota; Metazoa; Chordata; Mammalia; Primates; Galagidae. The record is from Ensembl.